RNAcentral lists this unclassified non-coding RNA (348 nucleotides) under soil metagenome. RNAcentral's name for it is "partial contains 5.8S ribosomal RNA, internal transcribed spacer 2, and large subunit ribosomal RNA". The stretch from base 1 to 120 matches the Rfam family "5.8S ribosomal RNA", at positions 35 to 154 of the family's 154-position model. The record is from RNAcentral.
GAUGAAGAACGUAGCGAAAUGCGAUAAGUAAUGUGAAUUGCAGAAUUCAGUGAAUCAUCGAGUCUUUGAACGCACAUUGCGCCCCCUGGUAUUCCGGGGGGCAUGCCUGUCCGAGCGUCAUUGCCGCCCUCAAGCACGGCUUGUGUGUUGGGCCCCCGCCCCCCGGCUCCGGGGGGCGGGCCCGAAAGGCAGCGGCGGCACCGCGUCCGGUCCUCGAGCGUAUGGGGCUUCGUCACCCGCUCUGUAGGCCCGGCCGGCGCCCGCCGGCGACCCCAAUCAAUCUUUCCAGGUUGACCUCGGAUCAGGUAGGGAUACCCGCUGAACUUAAGCAUAUCAAUAAGCGGAGGA